RNAcentral lists this transfer RNA (72 nucleotides) under Loxodonta africana (African savanna elephant). It matches the Rfam family "tRNA". From Rfam's summary of the family: Transfer RNA (tRNA) molecules are approximately 80 nucleotides in length. Lineage: Eukaryota; Metazoa; Chordata; Mammalia; Proboscidea; Elephantidae. The record is from Rfam by way of RNAcentral.
GUCCUGGUAGCACAGCGGUUAAGCACUCAGCUGCUAACCGAAAGGUUGGUGGUUAGAACCCACCCAGGGGUU